UACGGAGGGGGCUAGCGUUGUUCGGAAUUACUGGGCGUAAAGCGCGCGCAGGCGGCCCUUUAAGUCCGUCGGUCAAAUGCCGGGGCUCAACCCCGAUGCAUGCCGAGGAUACUGGAGGGCUGGAGACACGUAGAGGCAAGCGGAAUUCCGGGUGUAGCGGUGGAAUGCGUAGAGAUCCGGAAGAACACCGGAGGCGAAGGCGGCUUGCUGGGCGUGAUCUGACGCUGAGGCGCGAAAGCGUGGGGAGCGAACAGG
RNAcentral lists this ribosomal RNA (255 nucleotides) under uncultured bacterium. Its description in RNAcentral is "partial 16S ribosomal RNA". It matches the Rfam family "Bacterial small subunit ribosomal RNA", at positions 524 to 776 of the family's 1533-position model. The record is from RNAcentral.